RNAcentral lists this ribosomal RNA (351 nucleotides) under uncultured bacterium. Its description in RNAcentral is "partial 16S ribosomal RNA". It matches the Rfam family "Bacterial small subunit ribosomal RNA", at positions 355 to 723 of the family's 1533-position model. The record is from RNAcentral.
UGGGGAAUAUUGGACAAUGGGGGCAACCCUGAUCCAGCAAUGCCGCGUGUGUGAAGAAGGUCUUCGGAUUGUAAAGCACUUUCGACGGGGACGAUGAUGACGGUACCCGUAGAAGAAGCCCCGGCUAACUUCGUGCCAGCAGCCGCGGUAAUACGAAGGGGGCUAGCGUUGCUCGGAAUGACUGGGCGUAAAGGGCGUGUAGGCGGUUUACACAGUCAGAUGUGAAAUCCCCGGGCUUAACCUGGGAGCUGCAUUUGAUACGUGUAGACUAGAGUGUGAGAGAGGGUUGUGGAAUUCCCAGUGUAGAGGUGAAAUUCGUAGAUAUUGGGAAGAACACCGGUGGCGGAGGCG